CACCUACUCCCUCCGUUUCACAAUACAUGCAUUUCAUUUGUCAAAAUAUAGAUGUAUCUAGACAUGUUUCAGUAUAUAGGUAUAUUUAUUUUUGGACAAAUGGAAGUCAAGUAUUUUGGAACGGAGGGAAUACAUC
This is a non-coding RNA of Triticum aestivum (bread wheat), 136 nucleotides long. NCBI's taxonomy places the organism in Eukaryota, Viridiplantae, Streptophyta, Magnoliopsida, Poales, Poaceae. The record is from Rfam.